Xenia sp. Carnegie-2017 is the source of this 328-nucleotide long non-coding RNA. RefSeq lists it as uncharacterized. NCBI's taxonomy places the organism in Eukaryota, Metazoa, Cnidaria, Anthozoa, Malacalcyonacea, Xeniidae. The transcript has 2 exons. The record is from RefSeq and is a predicted model, not a curated record.
UCUUUCCCAAGCACCAGCAAGCGAGAAGAUGAAGAUACUAUGGCUGAAUUACAGUGUCUCAACACUCCUCGACGAACCGGUAAACGAAAACACGACGGAAUGUUUCCACAUCUUACAUCUAACCAACUGUUUUUGUUUUGCGAAGUGCUGGAGAACUCGUAUAAGUUUGCUAAAGGCUUCAAUUUUAACAGCAAGCUGAGGACGGCGCUUUGGAAAGCUGGUAAACGCUUCAUUAAUAUAUUGUACCAUUUGACACGAGCGACACAUUUUUGUACAAUUUCUAUUCGAAUUGGAAAUUAAUACACGAGUAAAAACAUCACAUUCAAAA